AGAGCGAACGCUGGCGGCAGGCUUAACACAUGCAAGUCGAGCGGGCGUAGCAAUACGUCAGCGGCAGACGGGUGAGUAACGCGUGGGAACGUACCUUUUGGUUCGGAACAACACAGGGAAACUUGUGCUAAUACCGGAUAAGCCCUUACGGGGAAAGAUUUAUCGCCAAAAGAUCGGCCCGCGUCUGAUUAGCUAGUUGGUGAGGUAACGGCUCACCAAGGCGACGAUCAGUAGCUGGUCUGAGAGGAUGAUCAGCCACAUUGGGACUGAGACACGGCCCAAACUCCUACGGGAGGCAGCAGUGGGGAAUAUUGGACAAUGGGCGCAAGCCUGAUCCAGCCAUGCCGCGUGAGUGAUGAAGGCCCUAGGGUUGUAAAGCUCUUUUGUGCGGGAAGAUAAUGACGGUACCGCAAGAAUAAGCCCGGCUAACUUCGCGCCAGCAGCCGC
Molecule: ribosomal RNA, 447 nt
Filed under: uncultured bacterium
Lineage: Bacteria
Description: SSU rRNA
Rfam family: Bacterial small subunit ribosomal RNA
Source: RNAcentral